Molecule: transfer RNA, 73 nt
Organism: Nitratiruptor sp. SB155-2
Lineage: Bacteria; Pseudomonadati; Campylobacterota; Epsilonproteobacteria; Nautiliales; Nitratiruptoraceae
Rfam family: tRNA
About the family: Transfer RNA (tRNA) molecules are approximately 80 nucleotides in length. Their secondary structure includes four short double-helical elements and three loops (D, anti-codon, and T loops).
Source: Rfam
AGGGCAGUAGCUCAGUUGGUAGAGCAACGGUCUCCAAAACCGUUGGCCGGGGGUUCGAGUCCCUCCUGCCCUG